UGGAUGCCCGCAUAGGGGCGCGGAGGCCGGGCGCCGCUGGGACUACCGUGGCUCCAGGUGUAGCAGGUCUCCUAGCCCUGGGGCGGAGGACGGCGGUGGGCACCGUAUUCUGCGAUGUGGUUUCGCCGCCUCGCCCAAGGUUACCUGCUGGGGCGGUCAGAACUGUGCUUUUGGAAGUGGGUGGCGCAGGCCGACCCCACCCCUCCAGGAGCUGGAGUGGAGAGGCCGUCCGUGGACCGUAUGGAGGUGGCAGCCCCUGGCUGGGAAUGUAGGUUCUUGGGCACAGCUGCCUUGUCCUCCGUGUUGAAGCUCGGAUUCCCCGUACAUGGGACAGUGAGUGCCGGCUGUGUAGCUGUUGGCUGAAAGCAAGAACGUACAGCGGGAUGAAGACAGACGGAGGGCCCAGUCCUGGAGGGGAGGAGCCUCUGGACAGAGCAGAGGGGCCGGCGAGAGAGGACCAGGGAGCAGUGGCCACACAAGGACUGACGCUGGAUGAUGGGGCUGCAGGGGACAGAGGGAAAGGUUUAACCCUUACGCUCUGCUCUGGCCAUCUUGCCGGGAGCUCUCCUGAGCUGGACUCGGUCAGGGCCCUGCGCGCACAGUUGUCCCCACCCCCGGACACCUGGCCACGCUGAGGCGGUGAGGCGGGUCAGGGCGGACACCGGCCUGAAGCUGCGGCCGGUGUAGGCAGAAAAGGGGGGCAGGC
Long non-coding RNA from Loxodonta africana (African savanna elephant), 706 nucleotides. RefSeq lists it as uncharacterized. Lineage: Eukaryota; Metazoa; Chordata; Mammalia; Proboscidea; Elephantidae. The record is from RefSeq and is a predicted model, not a curated record. The transcript has 3 exons.